This 253-nucleotide ribosomal RNA is filed under the name uncultured bacterium. Its description in RNAcentral is "partial 16S ribosomal RNA". It matches the Rfam family "Bacterial small subunit ribosomal RNA", at positions 524 to 776 of the family's 1533-position model. The record is from RNAcentral.
UACGGAGGGUGCAAGCGUUAAUCGGAUUUACUGGGCGUAAAGCGCACGUAGGCGGUUCGUUAAGUCGGAUGUGAAAUCCCCGGGCUCAACCUGGGAGCGGCAUUCGAUACUGGCGAACUGGAGUACGAGAGAGGGGGGUGGAAUUCCAGGUGUAGCGGUGAAAUGCGUAGAUAUCUGGAGGAACACCGGUGGCGAAGGCGGCCCCCUGGCUCGAUACUGACGCUGAGGUGCGAAAGCGUGGGGAGCAAACAGG